UAUGGUGAUAGCAUGAACAUUA
Molecule: non-coding RNA, 22 nt
Filed under: Arabidopsis thaliana (thale cress)
Lineage: Eukaryota; Viridiplantae; Streptophyta; Magnoliopsida; Brassicales; Brassicaceae
Source: RNAcentral